CCUACGCGAGGCUGCAGUAGGGAAUCUUCCACAAUGGGCGAAAGCCUGAUGGAGCAACGCCGCGUGGGUGAAGAAGGUCUUCGUAUCGUAAAACCCUGUUGUUAGGUAAGAAAGUGCGUGAGAGUAACUGUUCACCCUUCGACGGUUGCUUACCAGAACGCCACGGCGAACUACGUGCCAGCAGCCGCGCUAAUACGCAGGGGGCAAGCGGUAUCCGGAAUGAUUGGGCGUAAAGGGACAGCAGGCGGGCUUGUAAGUCUGAUGGGAAAGCCUGCGGCUUAACCGGAGUAGUGCAUUGGAAACUGGGAGACUGGAGUGCAGAAGAGGAGAGUGGAACUCCAUGUGUAGCGGUGAAAUGCGUAGAUAUAUGGAGGAACACCAGUGGCGAAGGCGGCUCUCUGGUCUGUAACUGACGCUGAGGUUCGAAAGCGUGGGUAGCAAACAGGAUUAGAUACCCGUGUAGUC
Molecule: ribosomal RNA, 465 nt
Filed under: uncultured bacterium
Lineage: Bacteria
Description: partial 16S ribosomal RNA
Rfam family: Bacterial small subunit ribosomal RNA
Source: RNAcentral